Molecule: ribosomal RNA, 253 nt
Filed under: uncultured bacterium
Lineage: Bacteria
Description: partial 16S ribosomal RNA
Rfam family: Bacterial small subunit ribosomal RNA
Source: RNAcentral
UACGAAGGGGGCUAGCGUUGCUCGGAAUCACUGGGCGUAAAGGGUGCGUAGGCGGUUCUUUAAGUCAGAGGUGAAAUCCUGGAGCUCAACUCCAGAACUGCCUUUGAUACUGAGGAUCUUGAGUCCGGGAGAGGUGAGUGGAACUGCGAGUGUAGAGGUGAAAUUCGUAGAUAUUAGGAAGAACACCAGUGGCGAAGGCGGCUCACUGGCCCGGUACUGACGCUGAGGCGCGAAAGCGUGGGGAGCAAACAGG